Molecule: unclassified non-coding RNA, 263 nt
Filed under: plant metagenome
Description: partial contains small subunit ribosomal RNA, internal transcribed spacer 1, and 5.8S ribosomal RNA
Source: RNAcentral
UUUCCGUAGGUGAACCUGCGGAAGGAUCAUUAUUGUAUAACCGAGGUGCGAGGGCUGUCGCUGACCCGACAUGUCGUGCACGCCCGAGUGCCCUCACACACAUCCAUCUCACCCCUAUGUGCACCACCGCGUGGGUCCCCCUUUGGCUUGUUCGGAGGGGGGCUUACGUUUUCACACAAACUUUGUAUGCAGUGUAGAAUGUAUUUUUUGUUUUUGCGAUCACGCAAUCAAUACAACUUUCAACAACGGAUCUCUUGGCUCUC